UGGGGAAUAUUGCACAAUGGGCGAAAGCCUGAUGCAGCAACGCCGCGUGAGCGAUGAAGGCCUUUGGGUCGUAAAGCUCUGUCCUUGGGGAAGAAUAAAUGACGGUACCCUUGGAGGAAGCCCCGGCUAACUACGUGCCAGCAGCCGCGGUAAUACGUAGGGGGCAAGCGUUAUCCGGAAUUAUUGGGCGUAAAGAGUGCGUAGGUGGUUUUGUAAGCGCGGGGUGAAAGGCAAUGGCUCAACUAUUGUAAGCCCUGCGAACUGCAAGACUUGAGUGCAGGAGAGGAAAGUGGAAUUCCUAGUGUAGCGGUGAAAUGCGUAGAUAUUAGGAGGAACACCAGUGGCGAAGGCGACUUUCUGGACUGUAACUGACACCGAGGCACGGAAGCGUGGGGAGCAAACA
RNAcentral lists this ribosomal RNA (403 nucleotides) under uncultured prokaryote. RNAcentral's name for it is "bacterial SSU rRNA". It matches the Rfam family "Bacterial small subunit ribosomal RNA", at positions 355 to 774 of the family's 1533-position model. The record is from RNAcentral.